This 429-nucleotide ribosomal RNA is filed under the name Gemmatimonadota bacterium. RNAcentral's name for it is "Gemmatimonadetes bacterium partial 16S ribosomal RNA". It matches the Rfam family "Bacterial small subunit ribosomal RNA", at positions 355 to 776 of the family's 1533-position model. The record is from RNAcentral. Lineage: Bacteria; Pseudomonadati; Gemmatimonadota.
UAGGGAAUCUUCGGCAAUGGACGAAAGUCUGACCGAGCAACGCCGCGUGAGUGAAGAAGGUUUUCGGAUCGUAAAACUCUGUUGUUAGAGAAGAACAAGGACGUUAGUAACUGAACGUCCCCUGACGGUAUCUAACCAGAAAGCCACGGCUAACUACGUGCCAGCAGCCGCGGUAAUACGUAGGUGGCAAGCGUUGUCCGGAUUUAUUGGGCGUAAAGCGAGCGCAGGCGGUUUCUUAAGUCUGAUGUGAAAGCCCCCGGCUCAACCGGGGAGGGUCAUUGGAAACUGGGGGACUUGAGUGCAGAAGAGGAGAGUGGAAUUCAAAGUGUAGCGGUGAAAUGCGUAGAUAUAUGGAGGAACACCAGUGGCGAAGGCGGCUCUCUGGUCUGUAACUGACGCUGAGGCUCGAAAGCGUGGGGAGCAAACAGG